Molecule: ribosomal RNA, 253 nt
Filed under: uncultured bacterium
Lineage: Bacteria
Description: partial 16S ribosomal RNA
Rfam family: Bacterial small subunit ribosomal RNA
Source: RNAcentral
UACGAGGGGGGCGAGCGUUGUUCGGAAUUAUUGGGCGUAAAGCGCACGUAGGCGGAUGUGUCAGUCAGGGGUGAAAUCCCGGAGCUCAACUUCGGAACUGCCUUUGAUACAGCACGUCUUGAGUCCGAUAGAGGUGGGUGGAAUUCCUAGUGUAGAGGUGAAAUUCGUAGAUAUUGGGAAGAACACCGGUGGCGAAGGCGGCGCUCUGGACCGAGACUGACGCUGAGGCGCGAAAGCGUGGGGAGCAAACAGG